GUCGACGCUGGCCAACGCGGUGGCGCGGCUGCUCAAGCCGCCGGCGCUGGUGACCGCCGGCGAGGUGCUGUACCACCCGGCCGGCGGCG
RNAcentral lists this transfer RNA (89 nucleotides) under Actinocatenispora comari. Its description in RNAcentral is "tRNA-Glu". Lineage: Bacteria; Bacillati; Actinomycetota; Actinomycetes; Micromonosporales; Micromonosporaceae. The record is from RNAcentral.